Long non-coding RNA from Neopsephotus bourkii (Bourke's parrot), 1413 nucleotides. RefSeq lists it as uncharacterized. The transcript is spliced from 3 exons. The record is from RefSeq and is a predicted model, not a curated record. Lineage: Eukaryota; Metazoa; Chordata; Aves; Psittaciformes; Psittacidae.
AGCAGUCUGAUUCAAGUCUUAAACACUCACAGAUUGUUCACAUAAGUUGAGUGUAAAUGUGCAAUGUUUACAUGCAGGUGAUACAAUGUAAUAGCCAAAGGCAGAGAAGAGGAUCAAGGAAAUUGAAUGACCGCAAGAAAUACGUCUUUCCUACUCAAAAGAAGAACCCAAGUAUUUUUUUCCCAAGAAAUGACAGCUUUCAAUGCUGCAAGGGACAUGGCAGUGCUCGCUACUAGACAAGAUUACAAGUAUCAACAGAACCGUGUAAAAGUUUGAUUUUGUGGUUUACCUAGGAGGUAAUGUAAUUAGUGUUAAAACAUUAAAUGUAUUUCAGGAUAACAUUCAAUUCACAGCUGAAGCCGGUGGGGAGAUCAGCAGGGCUGUGUUGAACGGAGACCUGAGUAUGAAGAAAAUUGAACCAACAGUCAGAGAUGGAGGGGUUUAAAGAGCAUCUCAGAGCAGUCCUUUCCCUCACAGCUCUCAGUGUGACUGGACUGCGUGUCUCAUCCUCCAGAGCAUGGCCUGGCCCCUCACAGGGAGGUUCUGGCUGAAGUCUCUGUGAUCAUCAUUCAUUUCUCCCUUACUCCUGCUUUCCUUCAGCAUGCAGAGAAUGACCUUCUUAGCAAGAGUUAUUCAAGACCCUGAGGCAGACUCCGUCAGCAGCUGAGAUCCCUGACCCUGCUUUGCUUUCUCUGGUGUAAGGUCUGACAUGGUAGUAAGUGGGUACGUUGGUGGCCAACCCUGUGACUUUAGCUGAAGAAACUGGUCAACAAAUCCUUUUGCUGCCACUCUACCUCUGGUAUGUCAGCAUGGGGGAACUAGGGCAUAAAUCUUCCGACCUUUUUCCUUUGGUCCCCCUAGACUUGGUGUUCUGGUUCUGGGAGGCUGAUGGACAAAUCUCUCAGCUUCUCUUUGGUUUUCCAAUAUUGCAAGAUCACUGUUGCCACUGACAAGAAAAUGGGAGGAAAGUUGUUAAUGAAUUGAUCUUUAUGGCUCUAGAAGCUUUCAGUGAAGAUCCUCUGCUCCCAUUUUCUCUCCAGUGCCAUCCAUUCUGGUUUUCUCUUCAAUAAUUUCCAUUCUAAUAACCUUAGGUAUCUCUACUUAAGGUUAUAUCUACACAGAUAAUUUUCUGUGUGACAAUGGAACACUUGAUUUUGAAUACCAGAAAAUUUAAUCUGGAAUAAAAUAAUGGUUUGACUCUGUAGCCUUUUGGUUCUACAAAAUAAAAGUAUAGAUACAUAAGCAUUCCCAGUCUGGAUUAGACUUUAGAUAGGUCUAGUAUUAUACCUUAUAUUUAGAGGUGACAAGAAUGAUGAAGAAGAACGUAGAAGUAGAUGAACAGCUGGCAGAUAAAGAUACUUUUGUCCUCAGUGCAUAUCAUCCACAUCUGUAAUGGUUGAAGAUAGACCUGGA